Molecule: ribosomal RNA, 406 nt
Filed under: uncultured bacterium
Lineage: Bacteria
Description: partial 16S ribosomal RNA
Rfam family: Bacterial small subunit ribosomal RNA
Source: RNAcentral
AUUGAACGCUGGCGGCAGGCCUAACACAUGCAAGUCGAACGAGUGGCGGACGGGUGAGUAAUGUCUGGGCAACUGCCUGAUGGAGGGGGAUCAAUACUGGACACGGUAGCUAAUACCGCCUACCAUCGGAUGUGCCCAGCUGGGAUUAGCUAGUAGGUGGGGUAACGGCUCACCUAGGCGACGAUCCCUAGCGGGUCCGAGCGGCUGACCGGCCAAACGGGAACGGGGACACGGUCCGAACUCCUACGGAAGGAGGCAGUGGGGAAUAUUGCACAAUGGGGGCAAGCCGGAUGCAGCCAGGCCGCGUGGAGGAAGAAGGCCUUCGGGUGGUAAAGUACGUUCAGCGGGGAGGCGUUACCCGCAGAAGAAGCACCGGCUAACUCCGUGCCAGCAGCCGCGGUAAUUC